RNAcentral lists this long non-coding RNA (510 nucleotides) under Gallus gallus (chicken). Its description in RNAcentral is "long non-coding RNA NONGGAT003460". Lineage: Eukaryota; Metazoa; Chordata; Aves; Galliformes; Phasianidae. The record is from RNAcentral.
AACAGACUGAACCCAUGGAAUAGAAGAUGCAAUGGAUGCUUCUUGCACAGAAGAAGAACACUGCUGCCUUCUCAAUGGAAGUGAUGUUACAAGGACUGUCCCACUGAGAUCAAUGAGGUGUGCUGCUCACGACCUGCUUUUCUCACCGUUCUCUCCCCCAUUACUUUCAUGCUCUUUUCUUUCUGUUCAGGGUUUUGUUGUUGUGAGCGCAUGCAAACCUGUUUAAAAGAAGAAAAUACUAAAAAAAAAAAAAUGACUGUUAAAUGUAGAACCGUAUGACAUGUAAACAGCUACUUCUGAGGCUUUCAGGAACACAGAGCAACACCUGUGUCUGAAACUGCUAUUCUGUCGUCUUCACCCCAAGCCUCCAUCCUGAAGGCUCUUUCAUCUUAUCUUGUUUUUUUCCUCCCUUUAGCAGUUUGGUUUUCAGUGUUUGAAACUCUCAGAGGAGUUGGUCUGUGCUCGUCCUAAAUGGUUUUUGGUGGAACAGUUUUGUUUUAUCGACGUGUG